AACGAACGCUGGCGGCAUGCCUAACACAUGCAAGUCGAACGAAGGCUUCGGCCUUAGUGGCGCACGGGUGCGUAACGCGUGGGAACCUGCCCUUUGGUUCGGAAUAACCAGGAGAAAUUCUGGCUAAUACCGGAUGAUGUCGCAAGACCAAAGAUUUAUCGCCAGAGGAUGGGCCGGCGUAGGAUUAGCUAGUUGGUGAGGUAAAGGCUCACCAAGGCGACGAUCCUUAGCUGGUCUGAGAGGAUGAUCAGCCACACCGGGACUGAGACACGGCCCAGACUCCUACGGGAUGCAGCAGUGGGGAAUAUUGGACAAUGGGCGAAAGCCUGAUCCAGCAAUGCCGCGUGAGUGAUGAAGGCCUUAGGGUUGUAAAGCUCUUUUAUCCGGGAUGAUAAUGACAGUACCGGGAGAAUAAGCCCCGGCUAACUCCGUGCCAGCAGCCGCAGUAA
RNAcentral lists this ribosomal RNA (449 nucleotides) under uncultured bacterium. RNAcentral describes it as "partial 16S ribosomal RNA". It matches the Rfam family "Bacterial small subunit ribosomal RNA", at positions 29 to 523 of the family's 1533-position model. The record is from RNAcentral.